Molecule: regulatory RNA element, 60 nt
Organism: Streptomyces sp. H-KF8
Lineage: Bacteria; Bacillati; Actinomycetota; Actinomycetes; Kitasatosporales; Streptomycetaceae
Rfam family: Actino-pnp RNA
Source: Rfam
GCCGGUCCUCGGUAGUGGCCCCCGGGUGAACGAACCCGGGAGCUUCGAUCGAAGACCGGC